Molecule: transfer-messenger RNA, 298 nt
Filed under: Candidatus Fibrimonadaceae bacterium
Lineage: Bacteria; Pseudomonadati; Fibrobacterota; Fibrobacteria; Candidatus Fibrimonadales; Candidatus Fibrimonadaceae
Description: partial transfer-messenger RNA
Rfam family: transfer-messenger RNA
About the family: Bacterial tmRNA, also known as 10Sa RNA or SsrA, is named for its dual tRNA and mRNA-like properties. Its role is to liberate the mRNA from a stalled ribosome.
Source: RNAcentral
GGCUGGCCUCGUAAAAAGCCUAAAAAACAUAAGUGCCAACGAAGAGUACGCACUCGCUGCUUAGUUAAGCAACGCCGGACUUUUUCUCAUUCCUGCUGGGGAAAAAAUCCGGACGCAAUGCAGGAUUGGGUUUUGCGGUUGCUUUAACGCAAAAUCUGAAAUUUCAAAGCUGGCUUUUGCUGUGCGCUAACCUUUAUGGGCGUUGUCAAAGGCGAGACCUUAAAUGCAAAGGAAACGCAUGUAUGAGCGAACGCAAACGGAAUUUUGGACAGGGGUUCAACUCCCCUCAUCUCCAUUU